GAGUUCCCGUUGUGGCUUAGGGGUAGCGAACCCAACGAGUAUCCAUGAGGAUGUGGGUUUGAUCCCUGACCUCGCUCAGUGUGUUAAGGAUCCAGCAUUGCUGUGAGCUUCAGUGUAGGCUGCAGAGGUGACUUGGAUCCUCUGUUGCUGUGGCUGUGGUGUAGACCUGCAGCUUGCAGCUCUGAUUCGAUGUUGGCCUGGGAACUUCCAUAGGCCAUAGAUGUGGCCCUAAAAAGCAAAAAAAAUAAAUAGGUAAAAUAAAAGUAAAAAAUAAAGUGGUAUUUGAAUCUGAACCCAGACCUGCCUUAAAUACAAAGCCUACAGUCAUUAUAACUACAUAGGUGCAUGUGUGAUGGAAUAUAAUUUGCAAAAUACAAUAAUUUGAAUCUCAUUGGUACUGUUGUCCCCAAAGGAUUCUGUUGGUCAUAAGGUGAUUGAUACUAUUUACAUUCUCUCUCAAAAUCUCUUAACCUGAAGAUUAUGCCACAUCCUAACAAAUAAAAAUGCAUGGCAGUAAUACAACUGAUAUUAUCUGUCAUUUUCUUAGUUUUGCAUUUUACAUUUAUGUUGCUUGGCAUGCCAGCAGAACUGUUGCAUUUGGAUUGCAAAUGAUUUUUGUAUCCUGUAAUUUUUUUAUGGUUUAAUUUUCAUGCCAAUUAUUUUCUGAUUUUGAAAAGUUGUUAGUUUCCCAUGGUGAUUUAUUUUCCUAUGUUCCUACCUGUGUUUAUUUGGUUGUUGUUUACUUGGCUACUUCUGGAACUGAAAUUAGUGUUGGCUUAUUGUCAUUUAUGCAAAAUUAUUUAAGUUUAUGGAGUUCCCUGUUGGUCCAGUGGGUUGAGGACCCAGUGUUGUCACUGCUAUGGCUCUGGUUACUGUGGUGGCAUGGGUUUGAUCCCUGGCCUAGGAACUUCUGCAUGCCAUAGACACGGCCAAAAAUCCCCCCCAAACCCACAUAUAUAUAUACUGCUAAUCCGGGAUGGCAAUAUGCUUGCUAUUGAAUUUCUAUUUUCCUCACUUUGUAGUUAAUAAGUAUUUACCAUUUCUACAUGCAAAUGCCCUUUUGGAUUGACUGAAAUGGAACUCUUCCCAGCUUAGUGGAAAUGUCUUAGUAUGCUGAGAUAUGCCUUGUAUUGUCCUCUGGCCUUAACUCCAUGUUGUAAAUUGGCAGAAGCCUAUCUUUUAUAUUAAAUGAAUCUAUAGGUGACAGUGAAGCCUUGUAGCAGCUAUAUGGAAGUGUAGUUUAUACUUCCGUUAGCUUUAGUCAAGUUUCAUUUCUUUAUCACAGAUGUUUUUCUUUAUAAGUAUUAAGUAUGCUUUUAAAAAAGAAGUGGUAUUCUUAAAUAGAAAAAUAAGCUUAAAUAACCUGUCAUUAACAUUUGUUGAAAUCUAACCCUCCAGGUGAGGAAAUAAAACAGUUUUUUUAAUCAAAGCCAAUAGAAGAUAAUUAAGGUCACUAAUUUUAAUAUAUAUAAAUUAUUUUUAAUGAACCUAACAGUUUGAGAUGCAUAGAGCUUUUUUUUUUCUUUUUUUUUUUUUUUGUCUUUUUGCCUUUUUCUAGGGCCGCUCCCCAUGGGAACUUCCAUAUGCUGCACAUGCAGCCCUAAGAAGCAACAAAUAAAUAAUUAAAUUAAAUGUCUGCUAAAAAUGAAAAUUGAACAUCUUAAUGAAAAAAUUUGUCUAGAUAAGAAUAAAUAUCUAAAAUGUAAUAUUGAUGACUUAAUCUGCCUGUAUUUUUCCUUAUGCAGAUAUUAAUAGAAUUUAAUAUCACUUACAGUAUAAUAAUAAAGUGAUAGAAUUUUAGGUCUCCUGGAAAGGAUGCUUAUAGAUCCUUCAAACUGGUGAUCGUAUUUUAAGCGCUACAGCACCUGGCUGGUUAGUGGCAAAGCAAGUUUUUUUUUUUUUUUUAAUUAAUUAAUUAAUUUAUUUUAUUUUAUUUAUUUUUUCAGCAUGAGGACCAAGUUACACUUACAUAUAUUCAUUUUUUUUCCUCCCUUUGUUCCGCUGCGAUACAAAGCGAGUUUUAGAAUGCACAUCUCUAAGCCCAGAAUGUAGUUCUCACUCAGUGCUACCUCUGAUUCUGGUGUAUAAUAUCCACUAACCAUUUUAUAUGAUACAAAGUCAAGCUGCAUUACUAAUAUCGAGGAGACUUGGCUCAUUUUUUUCAUGAAUAUUUAUAAAAGACAUUAUUGUGUAUUUAUUAUUGUGACGGUCACAACUCUGGAAAUGGUGUCAGGGAAGAAACAUGAUCUCAUGACAUUUGAGUGGGAAACCUCAAUAUUUACAUACACCUUCCCAGAGCCAAACAAAAUGUGUUCCUAUCAAAAAGCGGUUAGCUAAGAAAUAGUGUUUCCAAAAGAUUACACACAUAUCAGAGGAUUUGGAGUGUAAUAGUAAAGAAAUAAGAUUUAUUUUUUAUUAAGACCUAUGCUCUUGGAGUUCCCGUUGUGGCUCAGCGGAAACCGAUCUAACAUCCAUGAAGACGCAGGUUCGAUCCCUGGCCUUCCUCAGUGGGUUAAGGAUCUGGUGUUGCCGUGAGCUGUGGUGUAGGUCGCAGAUGCAGCUCAGAUCUGGCAUUGCUGUGGCUGUGGUGUAGGGCGGCAGCUAAAGCUCCAGUUUGACCCCUAUCCUGAGAAUACACAUAUGCUUCAAGUGCAGCCCU
RNAcentral lists this long non-coding RNA (2659 nucleotides) under Sus scrofa (pig). Its description in RNAcentral is "lncRNA (ENSSSCG00035073648.1, ENSSSCG00055014519.1)". Lineage: Eukaryota; Metazoa; Chordata; Mammalia; Artiodactyla; Suidae. The record is from RNAcentral.